Molecule: ribosomal RNA, 405 nt
Filed under: bacterium
Lineage: Bacteria
Description: partial 16S ribosomal RNA
Rfam family: Bacterial small subunit ribosomal RNA
Source: RNAcentral
UAAGGAAUAUUGCGCAAUGGGGGAAACCCUGACGCAGCAACGCCGCGUGGAGGAUGACCCUUUUCGGAGCGUAAACUCCUUUUAUCAGGAAAGAAUAAUGACGGUACCUGAUGAAUAAGCACCGGCUUACUCCGUGCCAGCAGCCGCGGUAAUACGGGGGGUGCAAGCGUUACUCGGAAUCACUGGGCGUAAAGGACGCGUAGGCGGAUUAUCAAGUCUUUUGUGAAAUCUAGUGGCUUAACCACUAAACUGCUUAGGAAACUGAUAGUCUAGAGUAGGGGAGAGGUAGAUGGAAUUCUUGGUGUAGGGGUAAAAUCCGUAGAGAUCAAGAAGAAUACCCAUUGCGAAAGCGAUCUGCUGGAACCUAACUGACGCUGAGGCGUGAAAGCGUGGGUAGCAAACAGG